GAUGAACGCUGGCGGCGUGCCUAAUACAUGCGAGUCGAGCGAACAGACGAGGAGCUUUCUCCUCUGACGUUAGCGGCGGACGGGUGAGUAACACGUGGAUAACCUACCUAUAAGACUGGGAUAACUUCGGGAAACCGGAGCUAAUACCGGAUAAUAUAUUGAACCGCAUGGUUCAAUAGUGAAAGACGGUUUUGCUGUCACUUAUAGAUGGAUCCGCCCCGCAUUAGCUAGUUGGUAAGGUAACGGCUUACCAAGGCAACGAUGCGUAGCUGACCUGAGAGGGUGGUCGGCCACACUGGAACUGAGACACGGUACAGACUCCUACGGGAGGCAGCAGUAGGGAAUCUUCCGCAAUGGGCGAAAGCCUGACGGAGCAACGCAGCGUGAGUGAUGAAGGUCUUCGGCUCGUAAAACUCUGUUAUUAGGGAAGAACAAAUGUGUAAGUAACUAUGAACGUCUUGACGGUACCUAAUCAGAAAGCAACGGCUAACUACGUG
RNAcentral lists this ribosomal RNA (497 nucleotides) under uncultured bacterium. RNAcentral's name for it is "partial 16S ribosomal RNA". It matches the Rfam family "Bacterial small subunit ribosomal RNA", at positions 28 to 507 of the family's 1533-position model. The record is from RNAcentral.